RNAcentral lists this transfer RNA (56 nucleotides) under Ictidomys tridecemlineatus (thirteen-lined ground squirrel). RNAcentral describes it as "Spermophilus tridecemlineatus (thirteen-lined ground squirrel) tRNA". It matches the Rfam family "tRNA", at positions 9 to 63 of the family's 71-position model. From Rfam's summary of the family: Transfer RNA (tRNA) molecules are approximately 80 nucleotides in length. Their secondary structure includes four short double-helical elements and three loops (D, anti-codon, and T loops). The record is from Rfam by way of RNAcentral. Lineage: Eukaryota; Metazoa; Chordata; Mammalia; Rodentia; Sciuridae.
AGUUCAGUGGUAGAGCAUGUGCUUAGCAUGCACUGGGUCCUGGGUUCAAUCCCCAG